UCCGGUUUGUCACCGGCAGUCUGGUGUGAGUCCCCAACUUAAUGCUGGCAACACACCACGGGGGUUGCGCUCGUUGCGGGACUUAACCCAACAUCUCACGGCACGAGCUGACGACAGCCAUGCACCACCUGUCAGGGGCCCUUACGGACACUGCAUCUCUGCAGCUUUUCCUGCGUAGUUCAACCCAGGUAAGGUUCUUCGCGUUGCAUCGAAUUAAGCCACAUGCUCCGCCGCUUGUGCGGGCCCCCGUCAAUUCCUUUGAGUUUUAGCCUUGCGGCCGUACUCCCCAGGCGGGGUGCUUAAUGCGUUAGCUUCGGCACGGAGGGAGUCGACACCCCCCACACCUAGCACCCAUCGUUUACGGCGUGGACUAC
Molecule: unclassified non-coding RNA, 374 nt
Filed under: uncultured Actinomycetes bacterium
Lineage: Bacteria; Bacillati; Actinomycetota; Actinomycetes
Description: uncultured actinobacterium contains 16S-23S intergenic spacer region
Source: RNAcentral